Molecule: unclassified non-coding RNA, 235 nt
Filed under: plant metagenome
Description: partial contains small subunit ribosomal RNA, internal transcribed spacer 1, and 5.8S ribosomal RNA
Source: RNAcentral
UUUCCGUAGGUGAACCUGCGGAAGGAUCAUUAAAGUUAUAGUCCCCCGGCCCCUUCGGGCUGGGGUCUUCUAUACCACCCUUUGUUUAUUACACCUUUGUUGCUUUGGCAGGCCUGCCCUCGGGCUGCUGGCUCCGGCCGGCUCGUGCCUGCCAGAGGACCUAAACUCUGUUUGUAUAUGAAGUCUGAGUACUAUAUAAUAGUUAAAACUUUCAACAACGGAUCUCUUGGUUCUG